Molecule: ribosomal RNA, 261 nt
Filed under: uncultured bacterium
Lineage: Bacteria
Description: partial small subunit ribosomal RNA
Rfam family: Bacterial small subunit ribosomal RNA
Source: RNAcentral
AGAAUCAACGCUGGCGGCGUGCCUAACACAUGCAAGUCGAACGAGAAAGUUGGAGCAAUCCAUGAGUAAAGUGGCGACCGGGUGAGUAACACGUGACUAACCUACCUUCGAGUGGGGGAUAACCUCGGGAAACCGGGGCUAAUACCGCAUAACAUCUUUGGAGUGGAAAUUCUGGAGAUCAAAGGAGCAAUUCGCUGGAAGAGGGGGUCGCGGCUGAUUAGCUAGUUGGCGGGUAACGGCCCACCAAGGCUUAGAUCGGUA